UACAGAGGUGGCAAGCGUUGUUCGGAAUUACUGGGCGUAAAGGGCGUGUAGGCGGUCUUCUGAGUCAGACGUGAAAUCCCCCGGCUUAACCUGGGAACUGCGUCUGAUACUGGGAGGCUUGAGUAUGGGAGAGGGAUGUAGAAUUCCAGGUGUAGCGGUGAAAUGCGUAGAUAUCUGGAGGAAUACCGGUGGCGAAGGCGGCAUCCUGGACCAUUACUGACGCUUAAGCGCGAAAGCUAGGGGAGCAAACGGG
RNAcentral lists this ribosomal RNA (253 nucleotides) under uncultured bacterium. Its description in RNAcentral is "partial 16S ribosomal RNA". It matches the Rfam family "Bacterial small subunit ribosomal RNA", at positions 524 to 776 of the family's 1533-position model. The record is from RNAcentral.